GGGUGGGUCUUGUUCAGCCCCAACAAAUGAAAGAAGAUUAAUUAACAGAAGCAGCUGCAGCUGGGCCUGGAGGCAGUGGCUCUACAGCAGCAGUGAGAGCCGAGCUGUGGCAGACACAUGCUCUUCCCCUGACUCACGGCUGCCCAGUUCCCUCCAGCGAGGCUGCUGACCUAUUUUUCUAUUAGGAACAACCAGCCAAUGUGAUAAUGAGGAAAAUGUAUUCUGGCCCCUAUGAAGUUUAGUGAAGCCCGAAUGAAGUGGAGGAGGCCACGGAGAUGCACGAGGAAGAGCAUUCCAGGCAGAGGGAACAGCGAGGACAAAAGCCCCCGGGCAGGAAUGGGUGUGCAAGCCUGAGAUCCAACAUGGCGGAGAGCAAGCCGGAAGUGCUGCGCGGGGAUCCUAAGGGAGCACUGAACAGGACAAGCUCAGUUUUGUCCCUCAAACCUCCACAAUCAGGUAAGUCAGUCGGCCUCGCAUAAGAUAUAUGUUUUCCCCACCAAUCUCCAUUCUGAGGAGUGGAGUAGAAACUCCCUCUCCUCUCAUGAAAUGUUGAGUAUCAGGGAGCAAGUGUGUGCUAAAAAGGGUUACCUCGGUGGAACUAGGUUGCUCAAAUCCUGAACAUUCCGAAGGAAGGACUGGCCCCUGACCAGCUCUGGGGAGCUAACUUCUGGGUCUUUGGAAUAUGCCUGAGGAGAGCACCUUUGUGACCUGAGACUUCAGCCCUGCCUACACCUUAUGCUAACAGUGUGGUUUAUGGGGAAGACCUGUUUUUAUUUGCUGGGAGCCCUGGGCCAUGCUGUAUCUCUUUGACUUCUGGAUGGGUGGGGAACUGAGGAAUAAAUUGCUAAGGCCAGUCAUGUAGAUGCUCCAUGCCUAUAUGACUGACCUCCAAUAAAAAUCCUGGCACCAAGACUUGGGUAAGCUUUCCUCAUUGACAGUAAUUGGUGUGUAUUAUUGUCACACGUUGUUGCUGGGAGGACUAAGUGUUGUCCAUGUGACUCCGCAGAGAACUCCUGGAAGUUCACCCCGGUUUCUCCUGAACUCUGCCCUAUUGUCCCUUUUUCCUAUGCUGAUUUUAAUCUGUAUUCUUUUUAUCCCCAAGUUCUGGCAAGUCUUUGAUGUAUUCUUUUCCCAUAAUAAACUGUAACUGUGAGCAUAA
Molecule: long non-coding RNA, 1159 nt
Organism: Homo sapiens (human)
Lineage: Eukaryota; Metazoa; Chordata; Mammalia; Primates; Hominidae
Product: long intergenic non-protein coding RNA 1563
Source: Ensembl